RNAcentral lists this ribosomal RNA (697 nucleotides) under uncultured Methanosaeta sp. RNAcentral's name for it is "bacterial SSU rRNA". It matches the Rfam family "Archaeal small subunit ribosomal RNA", at positions 1 to 705 of the family's 1478-position model. Lineage: Archaea; Methanobacteriati; Methanobacteriota; Methanomicrobia; Methanotrichales; Methanotrichaceae. The record is from RNAcentral.
UCCGUUUGAUCCUGGCGGAGGUUACUGCUAUCGAGGUUCGACUAAGCCAUGCGAGUCGAAUGUAGCAAUACAUGGCGUACUGCUCAGUAACACGUGGACAACCUACCCUCCGGACGGGGAUAAACCCGGGAAACUGGGUAUAAUACCCGAUAGAUCUCGACUGCUGGAAUGCAUCGAGAUCGAAAGCUCCGGCGCCAGAGGAUGGGUCUGCGGCCUAUCAGGUAGUAGUGGGUGUAGCGUACCUACUAGCCUACGACGGGUACGGGUUGUGAGAGCAAGAGCCCGGAGAUGGAUUCUGAGACACGAAUCCAGGCCCUACGGGGUGCAGCAGGCGCGAAAACUUUACAAUGCCGGCAACGGCGAUAAGGGGACCUCGAGUGCCAGGUUACAAAUCUGGCUGUCGUGAUGCCUAAAAAGCAUUGCAUAGCGAGGGCCGGGCAAGACCGGUGCCAGCCGCCGCGGUAACACCGGCGGCUCGAGCGGUAACCGUUAUUAUUGGGUCUAAAGGGUCUGUAGCCGGCCGGAUAAGUCUCUUGGGAAAUCCAGCAGCUCAACUGUUGGGCUUUCAGGAGAUACUGUCUGGCUCGAGGCCGGGAGAGGUGAGAGGUACUUCAGGGGUAGGGGUGAAAUCUUGUAAUCCUUGAAGGACCACCAGUGGCGAAGGCGUCUCACCAGAACGGACCUGACGGCAAGGGAC